Molecule: ribosomal RNA, 460 nt
Filed under: uncultured bacterium
Lineage: Bacteria
Description: partial 16S ribosomal RNA
Rfam family: Bacterial small subunit ribosomal RNA
Source: RNAcentral
CCUACGGGAGGCAGCAGUGAGGAAUAUUGGUCAAUGGACGCAAGUCUGAACCAGCCAUGCCGCGUGCAGGAAGACGGCUCUAUGAGUUGUAAACUGCUUUUGUACGAGGGUAAACGCAGAUACGUGUAUCUGUCUGAAAGUAUCGUACGAAUAAGGAUCGGCUAACUCCGUGCCAGCAGCCGCGGUAAUACGGAGGAUUCAAGCGUUAUCCGGAUUUAUUGGGUUUAAAGGGUGCGUAGGCGGUCGGAUAAGUUAGAGGUGAAAUCCCGAGGCUCAACUUCGGAAUUGCCUCUGAUACUGUUAGGCUAGAGAGUAGUUGCGGUAGGCGGAAUGUAUGGUGUAGGGGUGAAAUGCUUAGAGAUCAUACAGAACACCGAUUGCGAAGGCAGCUUACCAAGCUACGUCUGACGUUGAGGCACGAAAGCGUGGGGAGCAAACAGGAUUAGAUACCCGGGUAGUC